RNAcentral lists this small RNA (127 nucleotides) under Marmota monax (woodchuck). The record is from RNAcentral. Lineage: Eukaryota; Metazoa; Chordata; Mammalia; Rodentia; Sciuridae.
GCUGGGUGCAGUGAUGUACGCCUGUAAUCCCAGCAGCUUGGGAAGCUGAGGCAGGAGGAUCACAAGUUCAAAGCCAGCCUCAGCAACUUAGUAAGGCCCUAAGCAACUCAGUGAGACCCUGUCUCUA